GUGGGUUUGUGGUUUCUCUUUAUGUGUAUCAACCCUGGGGCGGCAGGUAGCCUAUUGGUUAGAGCGUUGGGCCAGUAACCGAAAGGUUUCUAGAUUGAAUAACCAAGCUGACAAGGUGUCUGCCUGUCUGUCCCUCCAUGGUGUCUGUGAGCUUGUCCGGGAACCUGGCGGUGACCUAGGUGGUAUUCCAAAGCCUCCUCUCCACCUAGCGACCUUUGACCUAUCUCAACCUCCAAGGCACAGCAGGCCUAUAGUAGUCAUCUCUCGAGGUCCUGCAGGCACCCGUGGGAAUACAGCCCUCUAGUGCACAAAACACUGCUCAUCAUGUCUUCGCAUGAUCAGAUGAUGACACGGGUACCAGAAGGGUCAGAAAGACAUGGAAGACCAGUCUCUCUUCUCCUCCUCGCCCUCAAACUGCAGGCUAGACUAACCCAGCUGUCUGGCAAUCAUCUCCACGACGACCUCUUCCCAGAGCUGGAUGCCCCUACAAUGCCCAGACUCCACCUCCUGAAAGUGUCCUCCAAUCACAUAAUGUGGGAGUGUCUUAAGACGACAGUGAAUGCCUUGGAAGGGCAUCCUCAACUUUCUUUCCCGGUUAUUUAUUAUGGGUCAUUUGUAUUUACUUAGUUAAAUUUGUAUAAAGUUAGUGUCAUUUAUUUUUUUUUUUGGCCAUGAUGGGUUCAUAUUCCCAAAGUAGCUUUAGCCUACAACAAAUUACCAUGUGCAUCUC
Molecule: long non-coding RNA, 730 nt
Organism: Oncorhynchus gorbuscha (pink salmon)
Lineage: Eukaryota; Metazoa; Chordata; Actinopteri; Salmoniformes; Salmonidae
Exons: 4
Source: RefSeq, a predicted model, not a curated record